AUAAAAAUGCCAGAGAAAUUUAUGGGGUUGAUUUAGGUUCAAUUUACAGCCACAGGCUUUUUUAUU
This 66-nucleotide transfer RNA is filed under the name Schistocephalus solidus. Its description in RNAcentral is "tRNA-Leu". RNAcentral also lists the same sequence under 1 other name. The record is from RNAcentral. Lineage: Eukaryota; Metazoa; Platyhelminthes; Cestoda; Diphyllobothriidea; Diphyllobothriidae.